GCCAGCAACGAGCCACUUGCUCUGCAUACAUCAGCAAAAGAUUUUCUUGGAAGUUAACACAGGGGCGAUAGGUAUACAACUGCCUAUGGCAUUCUUAGCUUUUCUGAGUAGAUGAGCCAAUCAUGCCAUAAGAAGCUGUUCUUUUACAAAAAAGAAAAUAGCCGUCCAACGUAUUGCAAAGCAUGUGGAGAGCUUUGCUCUUCUACACUGUAUUUUCAUUUUCAACUUUAACCGGCUUUGAUUGAUGAGAGCUUUGGCUGACAAUUCAACUCCAAUAAGGCAGUACAAUCACCAGAAAAUUUCAAGCAAACAGAGACACGAAACGGGGAAGCACAAGAUUAACCACCUAACUAGUGCAACUAGCUUGGCUUAAGAGAACCCAGAAACUGUAACGAUCGAAAGUCUUGUUCCUAAAUUCCUAACACAGCACACGUUGUCUCAAACUGUAAAUUUUGCAAGAAAAGGCAACAAAAUGAGCAUAUUUUUGAAACGUAAAAGACCAAACGGAGAAGGCACCAACGAGAUGAUUAAGGUUCGAUUCCAAACCACCAGCCACGAAACCAGCCGACCCAUCAAUAAAACCUUCCUGUUCAAGAAUCAUAAUAUCUUCGCCGCUGCCACCACCACCACUUCCGAAAGAAGCAGCUCUCAUGGUCUCAGCCAUGUGCCUUCAACUCAAGACUUUGCCUUUCCCACGAGCGAGCACGCACGAGCCAGACCCACCAUGGCCGAUCUCGAGCAGCGCAACUCGAGCGCCAAAGUGGGAUUCCGCCUCAAAGGUUUGACCUUUGAAGAAGAAGGAAACUUGGGUAAAGCGCUAAAACUUGGUUAGUGUACGAUAGUCGGGGAGCUGGGCAUCUUGGGUUAACGCGGGGGCAGAGAAACGGGGGUAACAUACAGCGAGUCGAGGCCAAA
Molecule: long non-coding RNA, 915 nt
Filed under: Eucalyptus grandis
Lineage: Eukaryota; Viridiplantae; Streptophyta; Magnoliopsida; Myrtales; Myrtaceae
Description: long non-coding RNA (EGRA_LNC005057)
Source: RNAcentral